RNAcentral lists this long non-coding RNA (1113 nucleotides) under Sus scrofa (pig). RNAcentral describes it as "lncRNA (ENSSSCG00000040260.3)". Lineage: Eukaryota; Metazoa; Chordata; Mammalia; Artiodactyla; Suidae. The record is from RNAcentral.
ACCGUCACAGGUCAGCUGGGCCAGCUAGACCAGGAGGACCAGGUCAAAGACCACAUGGAAAGUGCCAAGGAGAGCGAUGCGGCUCGCGAUAUCGAGGAUCUCCCCCAACCUGAAGCUGUCAAAAGCGCAGAGGAAGUUUGCUCACUGGGCCCCAGUCCUGGUGCCCUAGGCCCUAAGACUAGUUUGCCAUCGACCCAUCAGACCCAAAUGGUGGACCCUCAGGUGGCUCAGACCAUCCAGGACUUUCAGGCCAUGGAUCACACCCAACAGGCCACCCAGAGCAGCUCUUCAGUACAAAGGGUUGAACCAGGCCAGUCCCUGUCUGCCCAGGAAUUUCACGGAAAGUCAUUGGCUUUCAAGACCCCGCCACCAGUGGGCCAGAAGCUAAGUCCAAACCCCCCUGAUGUGGCAUCAGUGCUCCCUGAGUCCCCAACUCCAGCUGCUCAUGCCCAGGAGUCAGUGUCCCCCAGGAGGUGGCCCACCCCUGACCUGGCAAAGAAGAGUUGCUCACUCUAGCACAGAGCCAGACCCCAGCCUCUGAAAAAACUCACCAAUCGUCCUCCAGAUUUAAGUGCCAAGUUUCUAAAAGCACAAAUACUUGCCUUCACCUUGUUUUGGAAAUCUCCGUCUAGAGUCCUGACCUGCCUGAGACCAGCACAAUAACCAGCCUGCCUCUGCCAAGUAUACAUGUUUCAGUGUUGAGGAGAAUUUUCUAGCUUGCAGGCAAUAAAGUUAUUUAUUGCCAGAAUUUUAAGCCAUAAUAAACUAUGCUAUUCCAAAUGAACAUUGUUUUAAAAUAAGUUGGAUUUUAAAACAGACCUUGCUUGUGAAAGCAUUCCAGCCUUCUGAGUGGAAAAUAAUAUCUCACAUACUCUGGGUGAAGAUAGAGGUGCAAUUUCCACAGAAAUGGACAUUGAAAAAUGCAGCUCCUUGUAGUUAAGGAUACUUUGUGACCUCUCAGGUAUCAGAAACAUAAAUACAAUCAGUGUAACAUGCUAUAAUUUAUAUGUUCAUUUUCUUUAGGUAACUUGAGUUUCCCUUUUUCCCAAGGAUUUAAAAUCUGAUUUGAUUGCAUAUUUUAAUGAUAAUCAAAUAAAAUUCAUUUGGAACUGC